Molecule: ribosomal RNA, 306 nt
Filed under: uncultured bacterium
Lineage: Bacteria
Description: partial 16S ribosomal RNA
Rfam family: Bacterial small subunit ribosomal RNA
Source: RNAcentral
GACAGCAGCCGCCGCGGUAAUACGAAGGGUGCAAGCGUUACUCGGAAUUACUGGGCGUAAAGCGUGCGUAGGUGGUGGUUUAAGUCCGUUGUGAAAGCCCUGGGCUCAACCUGGGAAUUGCAGUGGAUACUGGGUCACUAGAGUGUGGUAGAGGAUAGUGGAAUUUCCGGUGUAGCAGUGAAAUGCGUAGAGAUCGGAAGGAACAUCUGUGGCGAAGGCGACUAUCUGGGCCAACACUGACACUGAGGCACGAAAGCGUGGGGAGCAAACAGGAUUAGAUACCCCCGUAGUCCCUGUCUCUUAUAC